UGGCUCAGAAUGAACGUUGGCGGCGUGGAUUAGGCAUGCAAGUCGCGCGAUAAAUUACCUUCGGGUGAUGGAAAGCGGCGAAAGGGAGAGUAACACGCGGGUACCUACCCUCAGGACCGGGAUAGCUGCGGGAAACUGCAAUUAAUACCGGAUGAUGUCUCCGGACCAAAGGUGUGAUUCCGCCGGAGGAGGGGCCCACGUCCUAUCAGCUAGUUGGCGAGGUAAUAGCUCACCAAGGCUACGACGGGUACGGGGUGUGAGAGCAUGCCCCCGCUCACUGGGACUGAGACACUGCCCAGACACCUACGGGUGGCUGCAGUCGAGAAUCUUCCGCAAUGGGCGAAAGCCUGACGGAGCGACGCCGCGUGCGGGAUGAAGGCCUUCGGGUUGUAAACCGCUGUCAGUGGGGAGGAAAUGCACGGGGGUUCUCCCUCGUGCUUGACCGAUCCGCAGAGGAAGCACAGGCUAAGUUCGUGCCAGCAGCCGCGGUAACACGAACUGUGCAAACGUUAUUCGGAAUCACUGGGCUUAAAGAGUUCGUAGGCGGCAUGCCAAGUCGGGUGUGAAAUCCCUCGGCUCAACCGAGGAAUUGCGUCCGAAACUGGCGUGCUUGAGUAAGAUAGAGGUGAGCGGAACUGAUGGUGGAGCGGUGAAAUGCGUUGAUAUCAUCAGGAACACCGGUGGCGAAAGCGGCUCACUGGGUCUUAACUGACGCUGAGGAACGAAAGCU
This 730-nucleotide ribosomal RNA is filed under the name uncultured bacterium. RNAcentral describes it as "bacterial SSU rRNA". It matches the Rfam family "Bacterial small subunit ribosomal RNA", at positions 20 to 761 of the family's 1533-position model. The record is from RNAcentral.